UAUCAGAAAAAGAAGAAAUCCAUUCAUAUCAGAAAAAGAAGAAAUCCAUGGAAACAUAGUCAACCUCAGAUAUAUAAAUAAAUCCGGAAAUAAACAAAAUCCAGCAAUUCAACUACUGAAAACCUGAAAUGUAGAAAUACCAACUGAAAUUAGAAAUCCAAGCAAUCAAUUACUAGUAAUCUCAAAUAUUGAAAUCCAGGUCCUGCCAUGCCAGCUGCCUCCCUUCAUGCAACCUUCUGAUAAAACUUGCUCAUUUUUUGCCUCUUGCUUCAUUGUGAGUAUCGCCACGGAUACCCUUAAUAAUUGUAUUCCCUUUCAGCUUAUACAAAUUCAUGUUCUUCAUCUUCUCACCUUUCACUAGCACCGUAGCACCCUUACUAAUUUCCAUGAAUUUGCUUGCUGCAGACCAAUGAUAACCUAAUGAAUCUAAACGAAUCAAAGAAACUAUAUUUGUUCGAAGUUUUGGUAUGUAUCUGACAUCACCAAGCGUCAGUACAUUACCAUCAUGCAUCUUCACUUUCACAUUGCCAAUGCCCUUAACUUCUAAUUUCGCACCAUUGGGAAGUUCUGCAUAUCCUCCACUUGAUACGUUGAAUGUAUCAAACCAAUCUCUAUUUGAACUAACAUGAAAGGGGUAAGAGGAACCAAAAAUCCAAGAAUCAUUCAACUGAUCCCUACCUUCCGGGGCCAUUUGCACAUAACCAGUAUGUGCAAUUGAACUCAUAUGUUCUUUUCUUUCAUCAUCUGCAUUCCCUAAUUGCUCCCCUUUUAGUACCUUGCAGUCCCUUUUCAUGUGACCCCGGUUCCCACAAUUAUAACAAGUUACGCCAUCUCUUGAUUCUGAUCCCUCCCUUGACUUGCCACAGUUGUUUGAAUUU
Molecule: unclassified non-coding RNA, 878 nt
Filed under: Hevea brasiliensis (rubber tree)
Lineage: Eukaryota; Viridiplantae; Streptophyta; Magnoliopsida; Malpighiales; Euphorbiaceae
Source: RNAcentral